GGUACCCUGGGGGUUGAAGACUGAAUCGAUGGGGUAGCAGGUGCUAGUCUCGGUAGAGUCCACGAGACUCUAGAACCAUGCAGUAUGGUGGAAAACGCAUCAUUUUGCCAUCACUAUGAAGCUCCACCUCUAGGUCGUAGGGACUAGUGUAGAUAUAACGGUUGCCCUCAACCCUCAUUGCUCCUUCUUGGAGCAUCGUGAAAUGGUGGCAGCAAAUCAUGGAUCUAUCUAUCUAAAGAAAACAAUGUACAAGUACACAAGACAAGAAGGGGGAGUAAGACAUCUAAUGAAUGUUAUUCAUUGACGGCGUGGAAUUACAGAAAAUAUCACACCAAGACAUAAAAACAAAUAACAGACGUAACAUGUUAUCACAUACAUAACUGCCAAUGAUGAAUGAUGUUUGUACUCAGGAUAUGAGGAUGGAUAUCCACGAUUAAAAUAAAUGAAUAAUAUUCUUGAUUCAUCCAUCCUUACGCCAAUAUCCUCCCAAUAAACUAUUCAAAAAUAACCGAGAGUACAUGUCCCAUAACAAUCCGAUUUGAAAGCACCAAUUCAUUAUUCACAGGGAUAUGUGAUCCAUAUGUUCCAAAGUAAAU
RNAcentral lists this long non-coding RNA (596 nucleotides) under Lupinus angustifolius (narrow-leaved blue lupine). RNAcentral describes it as "long non-coding RNA (LANG_LNC002217)". The record is from RNAcentral. Lineage: Eukaryota; Viridiplantae; Streptophyta; Magnoliopsida; Fabales; Fabaceae.